RNAcentral lists this transfer RNA (71 nucleotides) under Ictidomys tridecemlineatus (thirteen-lined ground squirrel). Its description in RNAcentral is "Spermophilus tridecemlineatus (thirteen-lined ground squirrel) tRNA". It matches the Rfam family "tRNA". Rfam says of the family: Transfer RNA (tRNA) molecules are approximately 80 nucleotides in length. Their secondary structure includes four short double-helical elements and three loops (D, anti-codon, and T loops). Further hydrogen bonds mediate the characteristic L-shaped molecular structure. tRNAs have two regions of fundamental functional importance: the anti-codon, which is responsible for specific mRNA codon recognition, and the 3' end, to which the tRNAs corresponding amino acid is attached (by aminoacyl-tRNA synthetases). tRNAs cope with the degeneracy of the genetic code in two manners: having more than one tRNA (with a specific anti-codon) for a particular amino acid; and 'wobble' base-pairing, i.e. permitting non-standard base-pairing at the 3rd anti-codon position. The record is from Rfam by way of RNAcentral. Lineage: Eukaryota; Metazoa; Chordata; Mammalia; Rodentia; Sciuridae.
GUGGCUGUGGCUCAGCCAUAGAGCGCUCGUCUCUCAAGUGUGAGGCCCUGGGCUCGAUUCUCAGCACCACA